This 447-nucleotide ribosomal RNA is filed under the name uncultured bacterium. Its description in RNAcentral is "partial 16S ribosomal RNA". It matches the Rfam family "Bacterial small subunit ribosomal RNA", at positions 29 to 523 of the family's 1533-position model. The record is from RNAcentral.
AACGAACGCUGGCGGCAGGCUUAACACAUGCAAGUCGAGCGCCCCGCAAGGGGAGCGGCAGACGGGUGAGUAACGCGUGGGAAUCUAACCAUCACUACGGAACAAAUCCGGGAAACUGGAGAUCAUACCGUCUACGUCCUUCGGGAGCAAGAUUUAUCGGUGAUGGAUGAGCCCGCGUUGGAUUAGCUAGUGUGUGCGGUAAUGGCCCACCAAGGCGACGAUCCAUAGCUGGUCUGAGAGGAUGAUCAGCCACACUGGGACUGAGACACGGCCCAGACUCCUACGGGAGGCAGCAGUGUGGAAUAUUGGACAAUGGGCGCAAGCCUGAUCCAGCCAUGCCGCGUGAGUGAUGAAGGCCCUAGGGUUGUAAAGCUCUUUCACCGGUGAAGAUAAUGACGGUAACCGGAGAAGAAGCCCCGACUAACUUCGUUCCAGCCGCCGCGGUAA